RNAcentral lists this ribosomal RNA (667 nucleotides) under Arthrobacter sp. Its description in RNAcentral is "bacterial SSU rRNA". It matches the Rfam family "Bacterial small subunit ribosomal RNA", at positions 26 to 707 of the family's 1533-position model. Lineage: Bacteria; Bacillati; Actinomycetota; Actinomycetes; Micrococcales; Micrococcaceae. The record is from RNAcentral. RNAcentral also lists the same sequence under 1 other name.
AGGAUGAACGCUGGCGGCGUGCUUAACACAUGCAAGUCGAACGAUGAUCCCAGCUUGCUGGGGGAUUAGUGGCGAACGGGUGAGUAACACGUGAGUAACCUGCCCUUGACUCUGGGAUAAGCCUGGGAAACUGGGUCUAAUACCGGAUACGACCAUUCCACGCAUGUGGUGGUGGUGGAAAGCUUUUGUGGUUUUGGAUGGACUCGCGGCCUAUCAGCUUGUUGGUGGGGUAAUGGCCUACCAAGGCGACGACGGGUAGCCGGCCUGAGAGGGUGACCGGCCACACUGGGACUGAGACACGGCCCAGACUCCUACGGGAGGCAGCAGUGGGGAAUAUUGCACAAUGGGCGCAAGCCUGAUGCAGCGACGCCGCGUGAGGGAUGACGGCCUUCGGGUUGUAAACCUCUUUCAGUAGGGAAGAAGCGAAAGUGACGGUACCCGCAGAAGAAGCGCCGGCUAACUACGUGCCAGCAGCCGCGGUAAUACGUAGGGCGCAAGCGUUAUCCGGAAUUAUUGGGCGUAAAGAGCUCGUAGGCGGUUUGUCGCGUCUGCUGUGAAAGACCGGGGCUCAACUCCGGUUCUGCAGUGGGUACGGGCAGACUAGAGUGCAGUAGGGGAGACUGGAAUUCCUGGUGUAGCGGUGAAAUGCGCAGAUAUCAGGAGGAAC